RNAcentral lists this ribosomal RNA (174 nucleotides) under Ranunculus bonariensis. Its description in RNAcentral is "5.8S ribosomal RNA". The stretch from base 13 to 168 matches the Rfam family "5.8S ribosomal RNA". Rfam says of the family: 5.8S ribosomal RNA (5.8S rRNA) is a component of the large subunit of the eukaryotic ribosome. It is transcribed by RNA polymerase I as part of the 45S precursor that also contains 18S and 28S rRNA. Lineage: Eukaryota; Viridiplantae; Streptophyta; Magnoliopsida; Ranunculales; Ranunculaceae. The record is from RNAcentral.
CACUACUCAAACGACUCUCGGCAACGGAUAUCUCGGCUCUUGCAUCGAUGAAGAACGUAGCGAAAUGCGAUACUUGGUGUGAAUUGCAGAAUCCCGUGAACCAUCGAGUUUUUGAACGCAAGUUGCGCCCGACACCUUUAGGUUGAGGGCACGUCUGCCUGGGCGUCACACACA